CCUACGGGUGGCAGCAGUGAGGAAUAUUGGUCAAUGGCCGAGAGUCUGAACCAGCCAAGUCGCGUGAAGGAUGACUGCCCUAUGGGUUGUAAACUUCUUUUAUAAAGGGAUAAAAUGAGGCACGUGUGCCUUUUUGCAUGUACUUUAUGAAUAAGGAUCGGCUAACUCCGUGCCAGCAGCCGCGGUAAUACGGAGGAUCCGAGCGUUAUCCGGAUUUAUUGGGUUUAAAGGGAGCGUAGGUGGGAUGUUAAGUCAGUUGUUAAAGUUUGCGGCUCAACCGUAAAAUUGCAAUUGAUACUGGCAGUCUUGAGUACAGGUGAGGUAGGCGGAAUGCGUGGUGUAGCGGUGAAAUGCUUAGAUAUCACGAAGAACCCCGAUUGCGAAGGCAGCAUACGAAACGGUGACUGACAUUGAGGCUCGAAAGUGUGGGUAUCGAACAGGAUUAGAUACCCUUGUAGUC
RNAcentral lists this ribosomal RNA (460 nucleotides) under uncultured bacterium. RNAcentral describes it as "partial 16S ribosomal RNA". It matches the Rfam family "Bacterial small subunit ribosomal RNA", at positions 338 to 795 of the family's 1533-position model. The record is from RNAcentral.